This 253-nucleotide ribosomal RNA is filed under the name uncultured bacterium. RNAcentral describes it as "partial 16S ribosomal RNA". It matches the Rfam family "Bacterial small subunit ribosomal RNA", at positions 524 to 776 of the family's 1533-position model. The record is from RNAcentral.
UACGUAGGGUGCGAGCGUUGUCCGGAAUUACUGGGCGUAAAGAGCUCGUAGGUGGUUUGUCGCGUUGUUCGUGAAAACUCACAGCUCAACUGUGGGCGUGCGGGCGAUACGGGCAGACUGGAGUACUGCAGGGGAGACUGGAAUUCCUGGUGUAGCGGUGGAAUGCGCAGAUAUCAGGAGGAACACCGGUGGCGAAGGCGGGUCUCUGGGCAGUAAUUGACGCUGAGGAGCGAAAGCGUGGGGAGCGAACAGG